This 261-nucleotide ribosomal RNA is filed under the name uncultured archaeon. Its description in RNAcentral is "partial 16S ribosomal RNA". It matches the Rfam family "Archaeal small subunit ribosomal RNA", at positions 748 to 1008 of the family's 1478-position model. The record is from RNAcentral.
UAGCCGUAAACGAUACUCGCUAGGUGUCGGCCACGGUGCGACCGUUGUCGGUGCCGUAGGGAAGCCGUGAAGCGAGCCACCUGGGAAGUACGGCCGCAAGGCUGAAACUUAAAGGAAUUGGCGGGGGAGCACAACAACGGGUGGAGCUUGCGGUUUAAUUGGAUUCAACGCCGGAAAUCUUACCGGGACCGACAGCAACAUGAAGGCCAAGCUGAAGACCUUGCCGGAUUAGCUGAGAGGUGGUGCAUGGCGUCAGUGACU